UUUAUUUCACCCCGGUGGAGUUGGAGGUCCUUAUGCUGGCCUACGGCGAGUAUGAGAACAUUUUUCGCUGCAAAUCCAACACGGCUGCAGCAGCGAAGGAGAGAGAGACGGCAUGGGAGAAAAUUGCUGCGCGAGUCAAUGCCUAAGUUUGAAUGUACUAUUCCACUGACGUAACAUAUAAGAUCGAAGCAUAGUCUAUAGUUAUGAAUAUAAGUAGGAAUGAAAUCUGAUUUUCAUUUAGGUGCAAUCCAACGGGAGAAAAAAGGACUUGGAAGCAGCUCAAAAUGAAACAUAAAAACAUAAUUCAAAAAGGUAAGGCAUAUUUUGCUAGGCUGUGAUUGCACCUCACUUUGGUUUUAAUUUAAUUAUUUUAAAUGGACUUUGGCUAUUAGACAAAGUCAAUAUGAAUUUAAACUAAAAUAUUAAUUCAGCGGCUACUUCAAAUUAUAAUUUAAACCCCAAACAAAAUGUAGUUUUUCAACGUCCUCUCACUUAAUUCUACACUUCGUGGAUUAACACUUGAUACAAACACAUUUAUAUUUUAGACCUAUUGAAGUCAUUUAAAAUGUGACGCUGUAGCCUACACCAACACUGAUUAAAAUAGUAUUUUAAAAUAAACAUUGACUUCUGCUCAGCCAACAGAAAGAAGGCAGAGGCCCGAAAAACGGGUGGAGGGCCACCUCCACUACAUCUGACGGAGGCUGAGGAGCUGGCCCUCAGCCAAAACAGGGGUCGCCCUGUGGCUGAAGGCAUCCCCGGGGGAAGCUCAUCUGAGCCUGUCACCCCCCAGGACACAAGUCCCUACAUCAGAUGCAA
Molecule: non-coding RNA, 816 nt
Organism: Xyrichtys novacula (pearly razorfish)
Lineage: Eukaryota; Metazoa; Chordata; Actinopteri; Labriformes; Labridae
Source: the annotation of a GenBank genome assembly